GCAACUCCGCUGCACCUUGAAACACACCUUUGAAUUUAAGGCCAAAAUGUACGAUAAAGUAGGGGAUAGAGCGACAGGAAAACGAUAUUGCCAAGUUACUUUUAUGAUACACGUGAAAAUCGCGUAGCAAUGAAACUGUUGUAAAAGAUAUUUACGAGAACCAGUGUACGAACACAUUAUCGGUUCGCAACAUUCUAUUAUUCCGGUGUUGAAAUAAAGCACAGGUGGCGAUGCGGCCGGUUAGAUCAAAUAACAUUAGUUACAUGAAACAAAUGAAAUUUUUACAUGUUUCACAAGAGUGGUUGAGCGGUUUCAGCAACAUCGUCGUCCUAUUUGCGAUAGAUCCUAAAGAAUGUGUCGCGUAACCGAUCGACUGAACAUCGCGUUAUGUAGCGCCGCGGGCUAAUCGGCCGCGGAAACUCAAUGACUUUGGUUCGCGCGAUGUAAACGAUAGGCAAAGGAAUUCAAGGAAAAAGAUGUUACUCUACGCCAUCAUUUGCGUUUCUCUACGCACAACAUGCCGAAAAUAAUCCUGGAAGAUCAUACGUAACGGAAAAUAUCAUGGUCGACGUUCUAUUUGCGGACAGUAUCACCGCAGCGGGUGGAAAUACUGAAAAUUCAUUCAAGAAACCAUUCCAACCGGUUACACUGAACGCAGAUAUUUCGCGUAAUUAUCGUUCGACCUUUGCAAACGGCGAAUAGUUGGCUGAAAAUAGUAAAACGUGGGUGUCGAUUGCAUUUUAACGAAGCGUAAUCGCGGAAUUCGCAAUAAACAGCCGGCAAAGGUGUUCAGGCGCGCGGAACUUAUCAUCGCAUAACAAUCGACUUACUGGUGCAUAGCAUGCGUGGGUCACCCGAUUCCAAUCUAAGAUUUGGCGUACAGCCGAAACCUCUCAAAGGUUAACGAUCUUCUGCUCGCAUCGAAUAAGAAAUCGAUCGAUAGCUCGCUCGUUCGCAACUCUAACUCUGCACCUCUCCUAUCUCUUUGGAACUUCCAAUAUUCGUACAGUUUCUGAUUGUACGUAACACGCUGUCACUUUACGGACCCUACUCACACGAACGCUACGAUCAGAUCUUGGAGCAAUGUGCGACAACAAAGAACAGCAUACUUCACACAAUUGCAGAUCGUAUCCAGCGAAGACGAAGCCUGCGGAUCAAAGCUAAUUCUAACGACGCGACAAAAUUAUAGAAAAAUUUCGGCAAUUUGAACAAAGAAAUCGUUUCGUUCAAGAUGUUCGUUAGUAGAUAAAGUCAAACGGAAAUCGUGAAAGAAGCGUAAGAACAGCGAGUUUUCGCAAAGCAUCAAGCAACGUGACCCAUUUGAAAGCGAAAGAAAAAAAUGCCUAUCACCGUCCCCCGGAAUGUUUCGUGCGCAGUUCGAAAGCCGUCCAAGUGGCCGAGAUUUUAUGAGAAAUUAUACAGUUAACUAGCCGACAGCUUAGUUUCCCGAAUAUGUUACUAUCUAUAUAUUUAAUCAUUGUAUAAAAGAUACAUGUAUGAAAAUAUUAAGCGAUAUAAAUAUGCUAUUGGUAAUUAAUUGAGAAUAUGAAGAGCGAGAGAGAUGAAACUUUUAUUUUUCUUUUAAAGAAAAUAAAUAUACUUUCGUGGUUAAAAUAUUAUCACACAAAGACUUUUUCCAAUUAGUCUACGUACUAUGUAUCUUAAAGCGUGAUUGUUAACGUGUCAAAAAUAUCCCCCAAAAAAUGCUUAAUAACCAAGAUAAAAGUAUCCACAAAUCUUUGGAUUUUAUUUCUAGAAUGUUAAGUAAGCAAAUUAAAAUAUCGUUUGAAAAUUGUGAAUUCGGAAAAUGAUAACAAUAAGAACAUUGAAAAUUAUUUCGAGCAUAUGAUAAAUUAUUGAUAAAAAUAUCAGAUUUGUGUUAUUUAACAUCGAUAAAUUAACUAACACAUCAGAAAUGUGAUAUCAAGAUAAGAUUAAUAUCAAGAUAAAGCUCUCAUUGGCAAAAGACUGAAAAUAGGGAACGAAAAUUAGAAACGGUAAUUUCAUAAGAUUCGAAUUCUCUAAGAACUCUACUCGGCUCUGGUUCAUCGAGCCAAUUGUCAAGCAAACAUAGUUCCGUAGUAAUUUACAUAUCUAAGUAUUUCUAACAACGAUACUUCGAAACUGAUGCAAAUGAAGAAACGAUCCAGUAACGAAGUAGUCACAAAAUUGUCGCAUGUGCCGAUGAAACCGACGAUACCGCAAUCUUAUUUCAACGAUCAAAAAUCGAGGAACAUCAACGAAACUACGAUAGCUUAAAAUGACUCAGCGCUCGAUUAUUUUUGUCAUAAAAUCUGAAAAUACAAUCCAAAGGGCUGCCACAUCUAACGUCCCAUGUAAUCGAGUCGGUCUUGAGAGCCUUGAGCCUCUGCCAAAAAUGAAGAAAACAUUUUCAACGCGUACUUGAAGCUGUUCCAUUUUAUCAAUUGACACCGUAUUAAUCUGCUACCCUUGUAUCUUCUCCGGGUACUUCUUCUAGCAUAAUUAUCUCUCCGUAUAUUACGAAUCAAAAUUUGCGUCAAAGAAACGUUCAUUGUUAAUCGAAGACACAUUGCGUUUUAAUCUCUGUACACAGCAUUUUAAAAUAUAAUACCUACAAUUCGCAGAGAAGUAGAAGAUAUUUCGGACGUAUAAUGGAAAGCAUAAACAUCUACAAGAAAUAGAAGAUCAGCGACAACAGCGAUAGUCUUUCUCUCAGAAAUAAAACUAAAAUUAAAUAUUAAAUGUUUUGCGAUAAGUAAAAAAUUAACUCUGAAAAAGUAAAGUUCGUUCGAUUUGCGAAAAUCGCGUACUAUUGAUAAUUCGUAUAAAAUAAAACCAAUUAAAAUAAGACACUUUCGUUAUCAUUAAGAUCGUAUGCGAUGUAUUCGCUUAUUACAUGCCGUCGUAUGUAUCCUAAUACAACAUUUGAAAAUCGUGUAUCGUGCUCCAUGAGGUUAUGUACAGUAGUUCAAAAAUCUAGUAGGCAAAUAUUCUGUAAGUGAUAAACGUUCAGAAUGAACGCCUUCACUGUGAAAAUAAUAAUAACAUUUAACAAAUUUGCAAAACAAAAAGGUAGGCUAAACAAAUGUACUCAACACAAAUAGGAACAUUAAAAUACCAGUUCAAUCGUUCAAUAUGCAAUAUGAUAUAUCGUUGUCCAGUACUAUAUAACUAAAUCGAAGUUUUUUUAUCGAAGCAAAAAGAAAUAUAUAAAAUUCUAUUAA
Molecule: long non-coding RNA, 3206 nt
Organism: Bombus pyrosoma
Lineage: Eukaryota; Metazoa; Arthropoda; Insecta; Hymenoptera; Apidae
Exons: 3
Source: RefSeq, a predicted model, not a curated record